AUCCUCUUGCGGUUCAGAAGCAUAAUCAUUAGUUUUUACAUAUCAAUGGAUAUGUACCUGCUCAAACUAUAUUAUGACUCUGGCAAAUUACCCAUCUGAAA
Molecule: small nucleolar RNA, 101 nt
Organism: Psammomys obesus (fat sand rat)
Lineage: Eukaryota; Metazoa; Chordata; Mammalia; Rodentia; Muridae
Product: small nucleolar RNA U13
Exons: 1
Source: RefSeq, a predicted model, not a curated record